This 2520-nucleotide long non-coding RNA is filed under the name Actinia tenebrosa (Australian red waratah sea anemone). Its description in RNAcentral is "uncharacterized LOC116287182". The record is from RNAcentral. Lineage: Eukaryota; Metazoa; Cnidaria; Anthozoa; Actiniaria; Actiniidae.
AAAGUAGAAUUAUUUAGGGCUGUUUUCACUUGUUUUACUUCAUCUGUGAGUAAACAAAUGAUGUAUGACAAAACUGAGAAACGUACGUUCCCUUGUAAUAGCAUUAGCUUGCAUUUAAGAGUCGAUAGGAUGCGUCAAGUAAAAAAAAAACACUCAUCCAUGAACAGUUCGCAUUCAUCCAGAACGUCACUGAAUCUGCAUUUGAAGCAAUAAACCCUAUUUUAAGAAACAUUUGAAGAAAACAAAUAGAAUAUAAAGAGUUGUAUUAUGGUAACGGAGUUUAACAAACACAUUUCCCACUGAUCUUUGUGCAAGAUCUAGUGUCAGUAAUCGGUCCCGCUGUGGUAACACCUGUCUUUCAACUCAAGUGGUUUCAUUUCUUUUUACGUCUAUGCGGGAGAGUUGUUAUUCAGCCAUGAAUCUGCCGUCAGUAUUUGGCUGAGAUUCGUUAGUUCAUUGACUAAGCAUGACAAACACUUAUCAAUGAUGACACACGCGAAAUUUGAACUUACUUUAGGGAUUCAUUGUAUGAAUCACUGAUUUCUUACGUAUUUGAUGGAGGGCAAGUUGCCCCUCAUCUCGAUUCCUGCCCUUAGUGAUGAUUCAUCUGUUUAUUCGCUAAGUAUGACGAUCUAUUAUGACACACACGCACAUAUUUCUUGCCGAAUUCAGAAUCACACUGUUGGAAUGAGAAGAGGUUUUUUAUGCCCUCUCUAAUACUUCCGUUAGUUACGAUUUGGGUGACAUUCGUCAGGUGGCUCUUAGACAUCGUCACAUACAGAUAUAAGCUGACUUUAAUGACUCAUCAGUCUUGGAAUAGAAGAAAAGUGUUCCAUAUCUGUGACUUUGGCACAUACAAAUGUAAUCGGAUUUUUAUGGAGAGCAGAAGGGAAGUAUUUUAUACCGGUGGUGAAGCUUUGUUCCCUGUGCUUUAUUCUGCCGUUAUUCUGUAAUAACUUGAUCAUGGCAGCGUUUUCAGUUCACUGUUUUCUACCAAUAUCGUUGAAGUGCGACCCGCGAAGUUUGAUGUAUCGUUCGUGGACUAGAAUAUUUCUACGACCGUCAAUUAAGGCACUGAAAUUUAAAAUAUAUAUACUAGGGGAGAUUUUAGACCUUAGACUGAAUUAAAGAUUUCAAUCCCUUAAUCCUCUAAAAUCCUUAAUUCAGCCAAUUUUUUAUUUUUUAUUUUUUUUGAUUGACGGUCGUUGAAACGCGUGGUAAUUCGGCAAACGAGACAUCCAACUUCGAGGGUCGCAAUUCAAACAACUCAACUCUGACGUUUGCACUUAUCUGGUUUAGAAUGGCGAACUCUUACGACGCAUUUUUCGCGCUUGAAGCUCUUCUUUAUUAACAACACAUAUUUUUGAAUACUUUUGGUGUAAGCACAUUCUACUCAUCCUGAUAAGACAGUUUUUCGAUCCAAUAACCAAAGCAUAUUCGCUUCUUCUGAUUAAUUUAAAUUUAAAAAAAGCCAGUGUACUUUAUUAACUAAAACGUAUCUAAACACUAAACAUUUUAUUACAGUUUUAUUGCGUUUUAUUAGCUCCAUCUUAGAUAUUAUAAUAAGACUUUAGACUAAUGCUGAAUAUAUGCCUACUUUGAAUCAGCUGGCUAAACAGGUACAUCAGUAUUACUUACUCGACGCAUCAGCGAGUUUCACUUUCGAGUAGAAUGAAUUUCGCUGACUCAUGCACGUUUUGUUUAGCCUUUCCUUCCUGCUUUUCCUAUGCAAAUCAUAUUCUUUUAUUCAAUCGCUAAAUGACUUGGUGAGUUACUAAGGACAAUGGGUUUAUUCUUGUGUAACUGACAUGUGAGACGCACGAGUUUUGUUUUACUUUUAGUUAAAACAGCGUGACAGUUUUCCUCUUUCUUCUGUGGUGCAGUGACGGAUCAAAAUAUUUAUACUAAUCAUGGUUUUGGUGUUAUAAUGAUGAUGAUGGUGUUGAUGAUAAUAGGCAUAAUGAUAGUGACAGUGACGACGAUAUGGUGAUGAUGGUGAUGAUAGGGACGAUGACAGCGAUACUGAUGAUGAAGGUUGUUGGCAUGUUGUUGGUGGUGUACAGUUGGAGUAUAGACCCGUUGCAGCAAGUAGGAAUGCAGUUUCAUUUGGAGGACAUAAUAAUAGGUUCCCAAUUCUCAGAAGAUUGAAAUUCUUUUGUUUCGUCCUGCAAAUUGAGCUGCUUUUUGACGUGACGUGCAAGGGGUCUAUUGGUGGUGAUGAUGAUGGUCGUGGUGGUAAUUGUAAUGGUGGUGAUGAUGAAAAUAAUUUAAUAUUAAGGAAAAAAGCAAAAUAAAAACAUGAUUGCGUUUGGAGGCAGUGCAGGAAGGACGUCCCGUUGGAGCUCCUACAAUUUAGCCAUAUUUCUUCAAUUAAAACAUAAUGAAUCUAAACUAAACUAUCCAAGCCGUAAUACUUUAUUUUGGAGAAGCUGGAAAGAUGAUAAAUAACCAAGAUGACCUUAUUUCUGCGAAUGACAGCCAAACUGAGCGUAAGCGAGGAAGACCUAGAAAACCUGUCAA